UACAGAGGGUGCGAGCGUUAAUCGGAAUUACUGGGCGUAAAGCGUGCGUAGACGGUUAUUUAAGUCGGGUGUGAAAGCCCCGGGCUCAACCUGGGAAUUGCAUUCGAGACUGAAUAGCUAGGGUACGGUAGAGGGAAGUGGAAUUUCCGGUGUAGCGGUGAAAUUCGUAGAUAUUCGCAAGAACACCAGUGGCGAAGGCGGCUCACUGGCCCGGUACUGACGCUGAGGUGCGGAAAGCGUGGGGAGCAAACAGGG
RNAcentral lists this ribosomal RNA (255 nucleotides) under uncultured bacterium. RNAcentral describes it as "partial 16S ribosomal RNA". It matches the Rfam family "Bacterial small subunit ribosomal RNA", at positions 524 to 777 of the family's 1533-position model. The record is from RNAcentral.